Long non-coding RNA from Lontra canadensis (Northern American river otter), 103 nucleotides. RefSeq lists it as uncharacterized. The record is from RefSeq and is a predicted model, not a curated record. The transcript has 3 exons. NCBI's taxonomy places the organism in Eukaryota, Metazoa, Chordata, Mammalia, Carnivora, Mustelidae.
UUCUGACUUAGAGGCAUUCAGUCAUAAUCCCACAGAUGGUAGCUUCUCCCCAUUGGCUCCUCAGCCAAGCACAUACACCAAAUGUCUGAACCUGCGGUUCUUG